This 64-nucleotide transfer RNA is filed under the name Dendrobaena pentheri. RNAcentral describes it as "tRNA-Val". The record is from RNAcentral. Lineage: Eukaryota; Metazoa; Annelida; Clitellata; Crassiclitellata; Lumbricidae.
CAGAGUAUAGCAUAUAUAAUGCUUUUUACUUACACUAAAAAUAUAACAUCAGUUUACUUUGAUU